AAAUUAAAGGGACAAAUUUAUUCAGA
Molecule: non-coding RNA, 26 nt
Filed under: Cricetulus griseus (Chinese hamster)
Lineage: Eukaryota; Metazoa; Chordata; Mammalia; Rodentia; Cricetidae
Source: RNAcentral